UACGGAGGAUGCGAGUGUUAUCCGGAUUCAUUGGGUUUAAAGGGUGCGUAGGCGGAAUAUUAAGUCAGCGAUGAAAUCCUGCAGCUUAACUGUAGGACUGUCAUUGAUACUGGUAUUCUUGAAUUCAGUUGAGGUAGGCGGAAUGUGUAAUGUAGCGGUGAAAUGCUUAGAUAUUACACAGAACACCGAUUGCGGAGGCAGCUUACUAAACUGUUAUUGACGCUGAGGCACGAAAGCGUGGGGAGCAAACAGG
This 253-nucleotide ribosomal RNA is filed under the name uncultured bacterium. RNAcentral's name for it is "partial 16S ribosomal RNA". It matches the Rfam family "Bacterial small subunit ribosomal RNA", at positions 524 to 776 of the family's 1533-position model. The record is from RNAcentral.